Molecule: ribosomal RNA, 1086 nt
Filed under: uncultured bacterium
Lineage: Bacteria
Description: bacterial SSU rRNA
Rfam family: Bacterial small subunit ribosomal RNA
Source: RNAcentral
AGAGUUUGAUCCUGGCUCAGGAUGAACGCUGACAGAAUGCUUAACACAUGCAAGUUAAUGGGGAAGAUAUAGCUUGCUAUAUUGGGAACCAUAGCGGACGGGUGAGUAACGCGUAAAGGACUUACCCUCAGGACUGGGAUAACAGAGGGAAACUUCUGAUAAGACCGGAUAUAAUAUAUGUAUUGCAUGAUAAAUAUAUGAAAGGGAACGCCUGAGGAGAGCUUUGCGUCCUAUUAGUUAGUUGGUGGGGUGACGGCCUACCAAGGCGAUGAUAGGUAGCCGGCCUGAGAGGGUGGACGGUCACAAGGGGACUGAGAUACGGCCCUUACUCUUACGGGAGGCAGCAGUGGGGGAAUAUUGGACAAUGGAGGUAACUCUGAUCCAGCAAUUCUGUGUGCAUGAAGAAGGUUUUCGGAUUGUAAAGUGCCUUUCAGCAGGGAAGAAGAAAGUGACGGUACCUGCAGAAGAAGCGACGGCUAAAUACGUGCCAGCAGCCGCGGUAAUACGUAUGUCGCGAGCGUUAUCCGGAAUUAUUGGGCAUAAAGGGCAUCUAGGCGGCACGACAAGUCAGGGGGUGAAAACUUGCGGCUCAACUGCAAGCUUGCCUUUGAAACUGUAGUGCUAGAGUAUUGGAAAGGUGGGCGGAACUACACGAGUAGAGGUGAAAUUCGUAGAUAUGUGUAGGAAUGCCGAUGAUGAAGAUAGCUCACUGGACGAUAACUGACGCUGAAGUGCGAAAGCUAGGGGAGCGAACAGGAUUAGAUACCCUGGUAGUCCUAGCUGUAAACGAUGAUUACUGGGUGUGGGCAGGAAGACUGUCUGUGCCGAAGCAAAUGCGAUAAGUAAUCCCGCCUGGGGGAGUACGGCCGCAAGGCUGAAACUCAAAGGAAUUGACGGGGACCCGCCACAAGCGGUGGAGCAUGUGGUUUAAUUCGACGCAACGCGAGGAACCUUACCAGAUCUUGACAUCCUACGAAUGCUUAUGAAGAUAGGCAGUGCCUUCGGGAACGUAAGAGACAGGUGGUGCAUGGCUGUCGACAGCUCGUGUCGUGAGAUGUUGGGUUAAGUCCCGCAACGAGCGCAACC